Topomyia yanbarensis is the source of this 1144-nucleotide long non-coding RNA. RefSeq lists it as uncharacterized. NCBI's taxonomy places the organism in Eukaryota, Metazoa, Arthropoda, Insecta, Diptera, Culicidae. The record is from RefSeq and is a predicted model, not a curated record. The transcript has 4 exons.
GGUUACUCUUCACAUCGAAGCAUGUUUUUUUAUCAAACUGUAGUACAUAUUGUACACAAAACUUGAACAAUCUCUUGUGGUAUAUUGUUCUUGUUGCAGGCCGACCAGUCCGCGAAGAAAAUUCUCGUGCCUGGCGGAAUCGAUAUCGCGAUGACACCGAUAAUAUCACCUCCAGUUUUGUGCUGACUGUCGGGUAUGGAUAUAUUUUGGUAUGAUUGCUCGCGAUCGCCAGGAGCUACUGCAAAACAAUAUCUGGUUGAACAAAAAUAUCAGUCUGUUGGUAGCUUUCUGUGAUGGGAAUGACGGCAAGUGUAAAAUGAAUUGGAGAAAGCUCAGCACGAAGGCAAACGUGAGCAGCUAUUGGAAGCGGAAUAACGGGAGCGAUACGUAUCCAAAGUCAGUAAAUUAGGAGGAAAUAUUGAGGCAAGUUGCUGGUACGCAAUAACACUGCCAAUGAUUUCUGAAUGGUUCUGCAAGCUGCUGGAAACACCCAACAAUCCACGUUUUGCCAUGUAACUUACUAGAAGUGCUAGCAACGCUUCUACAAUGUAAAGGAAAUCUUUUUAUGAUCAUCUCCGUUGUGCAUGUCAUAAACCAAUACCAUGCGCUAAUGAUGCGUGACUUCUUCUGAAUCAAUAUGCGAACGAAUUCGUAGAAACGAGGACUCAAUUCACCAGUCGGAAUAUUGGCAGAGAUCAUACUAUAACCGCAAAGUAUGUAACCGCUCAGACUAAGCUAACCGCGUCACCUAAAUUAGACCAAAAUCUAGAUGCCCAUCUGCCGAACAUUAUGAAAAUCCUCAUCAAUGACAUUCGCCUGUUAGACAAGAUGAAGUUAAAUAAUCACCAACCAAGUAUUUUUACCGACUGCACAAAUGUGCAUUCUACGCCAUAGUCAACGUGUGUCACAAUGCUACAGUCGUUGAAGUGUUGGACAGUUCCAGUCAGUAUAACUAUCAACGACUGAAGAAGCGUGUGCUGGAACUGCUGCGAAAAAUGAAAAAUUGUUCAAGUUUGACGAAUCCCUCGAAAUCAGCGUACACGUGUUCGCUACUUUGUGCUAUUCGCUAUUGAUGACAGCGGCAUCGACGUUGGUUAUUGGUGAGCGGUAGCAUAUCGACUACGCAGUAGAGACCGUCGAGAUG